AGUGUUGGUAGGCGGGAAAGUUGAUUUUUGAGUUCUUUGAAUGCUACCUCACAUUCGCCCGUCCAUACUACUCUGGGGCCCGGUUUCUUUAAGAGCUAGAAAAAUGGGCGUAGUCGGUCCGCCAUCCUUGACAAGAACCUGCUGAGGGCCGUCACCUUUUCAUAAGCUUUUGGAUCUCCUUUAUGGUUCGUGGGGGGGGGUCAUCACUACAAAAAACCAGCGCAGUUCUGGCGGCAAAUUCCGGCGGCCAGGCCGCCGGUAUAAUGGUUCCAGGCGGCC
RNAcentral lists this long non-coding RNA (279 nucleotides) under Zostera marina. RNAcentral describes it as "long non-coding RNA (ZMAR_LNC005090)". Lineage: Eukaryota; Viridiplantae; Streptophyta; Magnoliopsida; Alismatales; Zosteraceae. The record is from RNAcentral.